Molecule: ribosomal RNA, 253 nt
Filed under: uncultured bacterium
Lineage: Bacteria
Description: partial 16S ribosomal RNA
Rfam family: Bacterial small subunit ribosomal RNA
Source: RNAcentral
UACGUAGGGAGCGAGCGUUGUCCGGAUUCAUUGGGCGUAAAGAGCUCGUAGGCGGUCUGUCGCGUCCGUUGUGAAAACUCGAGGCUCAACCUCGGGCUUGCAGUGGAUACGGGCAGACUAGAGUGCGGUAGGGGAGACUGGAAUUCCUGGUGUAGCGGUGGAAUGCGCAGAUAUCAGGAGGAACACCGAUGGCGAAGGCAGGUCUCUGGGCCGCAACUGACGCUGAGGAGCGAAAGCAUGGGGAGCGAACAGG